This 358-nucleotide unclassified non-coding RNA is filed under the name soil metagenome. Its description in RNAcentral is "partial contains 5.8S ribosomal RNA, internal transcribed spacer 2, and large subunit ribosomal RNA". The stretch from base 1 to 120 matches the Rfam family "5.8S ribosomal RNA", at positions 35 to 154 of the family's 154-position model. The record is from RNAcentral.
GAUGAAGAACGUAGCGAAAUGCGAUAAGUAAUGUGAAUUGCAGAAUUCAGUGAAUCAUCGAAUCUUUGAACGAACAUUGCGCCCGUCAGUAUUCUGGCGGGCAUGCCUGUUCGAGCGUCAUUACGCCCCUCAAGUCCCCUGUGGACUUGGUGUUGGGGAUCGGCGAGGCUGGUUUUCCAGCACAGCCGUCCCUUAAAUUAAUUGGCGGUCUCGCCGUGGCCCUCCUCUGCGCAGUAGUAAAACACUCGCAACAGGAGCCCGGCGCGGUCCACUGCCGUAAAACCCCCCAACUUUUUAUAGUUGACCUCGAAUCAGGUAGGACUACCCGCUGAACUUAAGCAUAUCAAUAAGCGGAGGA